GAGGAGUGGGGCCCUAUGAAUCUGAAGUUAAGGAUUCCAAAGAAUAUGAUCAGAGUAGGCGNCUGUGGGCACAGCAAACAAACAAAACAAACAAACAAAAACUAAAGAAAAAAAACCCCUUAUUUAUUAAUGCUUGUUUAUUUAUUUAACAAAUACCUAAGGAAUGCUGACAUUGUGCCAGGUACCAUGAGGAUGCUGGGCUUUACGACUAAAUAAGAAAUAGACUUGCCAUCACUGGUAUAGAUCGGAAAAUUAUGAUCUGGUGAAUUAAGUGCUACAGAACAAAUGGUCCAGAGAAACUAUUACAGCCAAGCAAAAAGGAAGUCCAGCUUGAGGAGUGGGGCCCUAUGAAUCUGAAGUUAAGGAUUCCAAAGAAUAUGAUCAGAGUAGGCGGAGGGAAUCAAGAAAAUGAUUUAAAGAAAGAGUGUUUUGAGAAUAUCCAGCAUUUAGUAUGGCAAUACCAUAAAGAUAAUGGGGGAGUUCCUGGUGUGGCUCAGCGGUAAUGAACCAGACUAGGAUCCAUGAGAGAAAAGAAUGGAUCUGUUUAUAUGUAUGAGUGAUUCACUUUGCUGUGCACCAGAAACUAAUACAACACUGUAAAUCAACUAUACUCCAGUAAGAUUUUUAAAAAUUUUUAAAAAUGGUUUAGGAGUUCCCGUUGUGGCACAGUGGAAACGAAUCCAACUAGGAACCAUGAGCUUGCCGGUUUGAUCCCUGGCCUCACUCAGUGGGUUAAGGAUCCAGCUUUGCUGUGAGCUGUGGUGUAGGUCGCAGAUGCUGCUUGGAUCUGGCGUUGCUGUGGCUCUGGCGUAGGCCGGUGGCUACAGCUUCGAUUUGACCCCUAGCCUGGGAACCUCCAUAUCCCGUGGGUUGUGGCCCUAAAACGACAAAACAAACAGACAAACAAAAAAGAUAAUGGAGAGACAGGUGGGGCAAGGAAGGCCCAGCCAAGCGAUAACACAAAAAUUCACCACUAAAAAAAUAAAAUAGCACUGAUAUGCUGAUAAUAUGUGUCU
RNAcentral lists this long non-coding RNA (1016 nucleotides) under Sus scrofa (pig). Its description in RNAcentral is "lncRNA (ENSSSCG00040024074.1)". The record is from RNAcentral. Lineage: Eukaryota; Metazoa; Chordata; Mammalia; Artiodactyla; Suidae.